CCUACGGGGGGCAGCAGUCGAGAAUCAUUCACAAUGGGGGAAACCCUGAUGGUGCGACGCCGCGUGGGGGAAUGAAGGUCUUCGGAUUGUAAACCCCUGUCAUGUGGGCGCAAAUUAAAAAGAUAGUACCACAAGAGGAAGAGACGGCUAACUCUGUGCCAGCAGCCGCGGUAAUACAGAGGUCUCAAGCGUUGUUCGGAAUCACUGGGCGUAAAGCGUGCGUAGGCUGUUUCGUAAGUCGUGUGUGAAAGGCGGGGGCUCAACCCGCGGACGGCACAUGAUACUGCGAGACUAGAGUAAUGGAGGGGGAAGCGGAAUUCUCGGUGUAGCAGUGAAAUGCGUAGAUAUCGAGAGGAACACUCGUGGCGAAGGCGGGUUCCUGGACAUUAACUGACGCUGAGGCACGAAGGCCAGGGGAGCGAAAGGGAUUAGAUACCCUGGUAGUC
This 446-nucleotide ribosomal RNA is filed under the name uncultured bacterium. RNAcentral describes it as "partial 16S ribosomal RNA". It matches the Rfam family "Bacterial small subunit ribosomal RNA", at positions 338 to 795 of the family's 1533-position model. The record is from RNAcentral.